AGCAGCCGCGGUAAUUCCAGCUCCAAUAGCGUAUAUUAAAGUUGUUGCAGUUAAAAAGCUCGUAGUUGAAUUUCGGGGUUAGUAGAUUGGUCAUGCCUCUGGUAUGUACUGGUCUCACUGAUUCCUCCUUCCUGAUGAACCUUAAUGCCAUUAAUUUGGUGUUUUGGGGAAUUUGGACUGUUACUUUGAAAAAAUUAGAGUGUUUAAAGCAAGCUAACGCUUGAAUACAUUAGCAUGGAAUAAUGAUAUAGGACGUUCGAUCCUAUUUUGUUGGUUUCUAGGAUUGACGUAAUGAUUAAUAGGGAUAGUUGGGGGCAUUAGUAUUCAAUUGUCAGAGGUGAAAUUCUUGGAUUUAUUGAAGACUAACUACUGCGAAAGCAUUUGCCAAGGAUGUUUUCAUUAAUCAAGAACGAAAGUUAGGGGAUCGAAGACGAUCAGAUACCGUCGUAGUCUUAACCAUAAACUAUGCCGACUAGGGAUCGGAUGAUGUUAAUUUUUUAAUGACUCA
Molecule: ribosomal RNA, 508 nt
Filed under: uncultured glomeraceous AM fungus
Lineage: Eukaryota; Fungi; Glomeromycota; Glomeromycetes; Glomerales; Glomeraceae
Description: SSU rRNA
Rfam family: Eukaryotic small subunit ribosomal RNA
Source: RNAcentral